UGUUGUAUUUUGCAUCAGAACUUCACAAAAACAUACAGAUUUCAGAGGGCUUUAUACAAGAAGAAUUAGAUAAGAUGGAAGGUUCCGUAGCCACUGCCAGCGCCGGGAGAGCGAUGAUGAACGGCGGAGAUUUGUCGAGGAGAUUUUCUGGCCGGCCAAGUCCGAAGAGGGGUCAGGUGAAGAUGGGGAUCGUGGUUGGAUUAGCCAACUCUGUGGCUUCCAUCUUCAAUCCUCACGGCUCAUCACUGCACAGGCAAGCAUCCAAGUAACUCGUAUAGUUCCUAAGACGGAUUUCAAGAUCGAGUUAUAUUAGGUCAAGAAGUUAUGAGAAUUCGAACAGAUUGUUGAUUUGUUCAUGUGAUAGAUUUUGAUCUGUGUACAUACUGUAGAAUUUGGUUCAAAUAUUGAAAUGAAAAUCUGCAUUUCUUUGGUCAAAUCAUUUUGUUUGGUACAACAGUACUUUUUGUGCGUGAAAUGAAAUCCCAAAACCUAACAGAAGCUUGAAAGCUAAAACUAAAACUGGAACACCACGACCAGGAAUGCUUUCAAAGAAAAUAAUUUGGAUGGAUAUAAACGACUUUCUAUGUUCGGAUUCCCCAGUAACUCUUAUUGCAUAGCAAGUUCUACUUAAAAAUUAACAGAAAUUGCAAUUAGGGUACAGGGUUCAGCUAGUAAAUCCCCUUUCUCAUGAAGAAGUCAAUUAGAAGCAUGUGGAGAAUUUACCCCAUCAUGGAGGAGAUUUGAAGGUUAUCUUCAUCUUUCGCUCAAGUUCGGCGGAACUGAAUUCAUAGAGAAGCGAACAAAGCAGCACAUGAAGCUGCUAGUCUGGGUAUCAAGAUGUGUGCUGUCAACGGUGGGCCUCGUAGCUUCCUCCCUCUCAAGUUUUGGUUUUGUCAAGGGACGGGCUAUCAUGUUCACCGGAAAACGUAAAUCAAGGUUAGGCGGCAGAGCUUAACUCCACCUACCUUUCUUUUGGGGACAAGACUUCGCUGCUGCUGAUAACCAAUCAUGCGCGGACACGUGUCCAGAUUUUGAUUUUUUUAAUCAAAUUCGGACAUGUGUCCGCGUGUGAUAGGCCAUCAGCAGCUGCUGAUCUUUCAACGGCGAAGUUGUUUCCUUCUUUUGGUGCCCUUGUAUGUAACAUUGCAUUGCUCUGUUACUAUUUUCUUUUGCCUUAUCUAUGGUGUUAAUGAGAAUCUCAAUUGACCAAAAAGAGAGUAAAUAACUUAUAAUUUUGUAUGUGAGGUUCUAUUCUCAAAUCUGUCAUCCCAUAAUAUUGCUUCUAUAGAAACAAAAGUUUUGCUUACUUAGACUUGAAUUAUGGAUUUUGAUACAGCUAGUACAAUGAGAGCUUCUUAUGGUCUAUCAUUCGUUGGAGUGUGUUUUGGUUGUUGAUUUAUUGGAGGCGGUGUGUAUAUCAUCAGUUAAUGUAUUUUAAAGCUCAAAUUAAUGAUAAUCAGAAUUCUUUUUCUAGGAUCUGAUAUAAUAAGAUAUCAGAUAAGAUUGGAUUACGAUAUGAAGAAAACCAAUAAACCAUCAACCAACUCUUACUGUCUUACAUAUAUCAAAAUAAUCCCACUAAAUCCUAGAUCGGAUCCAUGCCUCUUUUGACACAAUCUGACAUACUUAAACACAUGUUUUCUACAGAUUUUGGACGUACGUACGUAUGAACCAAGUCAUUUUCAGUACAACACUCAGUGCAUGCACCGUACCAUACUAUGGCUUUGCUCUCAAAAUAAUUAGUAAUAUAACUUUGUUCAUGGCCCUACUUUAGGGUUUCAUGACACAAGUUCACUAUUAUUGUAACUCUCUAUAUCAAUAAUAUAGUACAAUUUAGAAAAAUGUUGUGCACAAUAUUAUGUUGUUAACACAAAAUGUUACAAUAGUGGUAAGUUAGAAUAUGAAAGUUGUUCUUAAAUAUUGAUCAUCUACUCAUCUUUUUUCAAAGCGUACCCGUUGUUAUAUUAAUCGAGAAAAAAUUUAAAAUCAAAAGAGAGAGAUUGCAAGAUCUUUGUUGAGGAAGGAUAUUUGAUUAAUUUUGUUAACCCUUGAAUUAAUAAAUAAUUGCAGAUAAGUCCUGCACGAGGAGACCCAUCAUCUUUCACUUUAUAUAUAUACGACUUUACUUUUUUGAGUGGGAGCAAAAUGGCCAUG
RNAcentral lists this long non-coding RNA (2154 nucleotides) under Malus domestica (apple). Its description in RNAcentral is "long non-coding RNA (MDOM_LNC005373)". Lineage: Eukaryota; Viridiplantae; Streptophyta; Magnoliopsida; Rosales; Rosaceae. The record is from RNAcentral.